AGUCCUGACUUUCGUCACUUGCUGUAUUUCUAUUAGGAAUUUCGCUAAUCAAUUGGCAAGUGAUGUCUAUAAUGCCUUCACUUAAACUUCUAAGGGAAGUGCAUUUUACUGAUGCCAGAAAUCUUCAACUCAUACUCCUGAGUCGAUCAUGGUUGAGCUCUUUCAUUUGCGUCUUUAGGUGAAAACCCGAAAGGGCACCUCAAAAAAAAAAAAAAAAAAAAAAAA
This 225-nucleotide long non-coding RNA is filed under the name Coffea arabica (coffee). RNAcentral's name for it is "long non-coding RNA (CARA_LNC005949)". The record is from RNAcentral. Lineage: Eukaryota; Viridiplantae; Streptophyta; Magnoliopsida; Gentianales; Rubiaceae.